GCGGCCGUCGUCUAGUCUGGAUUAGGACGCUGGCCUCCCAUGUAAAGGGGAGAGCCAGUAAUCCCGGGUUCAAAUCCCGGCGGCCGCA
This 88-nucleotide transfer RNA is filed under the name Stygiolobus caldivivus. RNAcentral's name for it is "Stygiolobus sp. KN-1 tRNA-Gly". It matches the Rfam family "tRNA". From Rfam's summary of the family: Transfer RNA (tRNA) molecules are approximately 80 nucleotides in length. Their secondary structure includes four short double-helical elements and three loops (D, anti-codon, and T loops). Lineage: Archaea; Thermoproteati; Thermoproteota; Thermoprotei; Sulfolobales; Sulfolobaceae. The record is from RNAcentral.